UCCAGACUCCUACGGGAGGCAGCAGUGGGGAAUAUUGCGCAAUGGGGGAAACCCUGACGCAGCAACGCCGCGUGAGUGAGGAAGUAUCUCGGUAUGUAGGGCUCUAUCAGCGGGGAAGAAGGAAGACGGUACCCGACUAAGAAGCCCCGGCUAACUACGUGCCAGCAGCCGCGGUAAUACGUAGGGGGCGAGCGUUAUCCGGAUUUACUGGGUGUAAAGGGAGCGUAGACGGCGAUGCAAGUCUGAAGUGAAAGGCGGGGGCCCAACCCCCGGACUGCUUUGGAAACUGUAUAGCUGGAGUGCAGGAGAGGUAAGUGGAAUUCCUAGUGUAGCGGUGAAAUGCGUAGAUAUUAGGAGGAACACCAGUGGCGAAGGCGGCUUGCUGGACGGUAACUGACGUUGAGGCUCGAAAGCGUGGGGAGCAAACAGGAUUAGAUACCCCUGUA
Molecule: ribosomal RNA, 446 nt
Filed under: uncultured bacterium
Lineage: Bacteria
Description: bacterial SSU rRNA
Rfam family: Bacterial small subunit ribosomal RNA
Source: RNAcentral